RNAcentral lists this ribosomal RNA (118 nucleotides) under Pteropus alecto (black flying fox). RNAcentral also lists the same sequence under 1 other name. The record is from RNAcentral. Lineage: Eukaryota; Metazoa; Chordata; Mammalia; Chiroptera; Pteropodidae.
GUCUAUGGCCAUACCACCCUGAACAAGCCGAUCCCGUCUGUUCUUGGAAGCUAAGCAAGGUUGGGCCUGGUUAGUACUUGGAUGGGAGACCACUUAGGAAGACCAGGUGCUGUAGGUG